RNAcentral lists this ribosomal RNA (253 nucleotides) under uncultured bacterium. Its description in RNAcentral is "partial 16S ribosomal RNA". It matches the Rfam family "Bacterial small subunit ribosomal RNA", at positions 524 to 776 of the family's 1533-position model. The record is from RNAcentral.
UACGGGGGGGGCAAGCGUUGUUCGGAAUUACUGGGCGUAAAGGGCUCGUAGGUGGCCAACUAAGUCAGACGUGAAAUCCCUCGGCUUAACCGGGGAACUGCGUCUGAUACUGGAUGGCUUGAGUUCGGGAGAGGGAUGCGGAAUUCCAGGUGUAGCGGUGAAAUGCGUAGAUAUCUGGAGGAACACCGGUGGCGAAGGCGGCAUCCUGGACCGACACUGACACUGAGGAGCGAAAGCCAGGGGAGCGAACGGG